RNAcentral lists this ribosomal RNA (1075 nucleotides) under marine metagenome. RNAcentral's name for it is "bacterial SSU rRNA". It matches the Rfam family "Bacterial small subunit ribosomal RNA", at positions 348 to 1446 of the family's 1533-position model. The record is from RNAcentral.
GCAGCAGUGGGGAAUUUUCCGCAAUGGGCGAAAGCCUGACGGAGCGACGCUGCGUGAAGGAUGACGGCCUGAGGGUUGUAAACUUCUUUUCUCGAAGAAGAAUCAAUGACGGUAUUCGAGGAAUAAGCAUCGGCUAACUCUGUGCCAGCAGCCGCGGUAAGACAGAGGAUGCAAGUGUUAUUCGGAUUGAUUGGGCGUAAAGCGUCUGUAGGCGGUUUAGAAAGUCUUUUGUGAAAUACUUCAGCUCAACUGGAGCUCCGCAAAAGAAACUUCUAGACUUGAGGGAAGUAGAGGUACAGGGAAUUUCCGGUGGAGCGGUGAAAUGCGUAGAUAUCGGAAGGAACACCAAUAUGGCGAAGGCACUGUACUGGGCUUUACCUGACGCUAAGAGACGAAAGCUAAAGGAGUGAUUAGGAUUAGAUACCCUAGUAAUUUUAGCCGUAAACGAUGGAAACUCACUGCCGAGCCGGUAUUCGGAGCGGUGGUCAAGCUAACGCGUGAAGUUUCCCGCCUGGGGAUUACGCAUGCAAAUGUGAAACUCAAAGGAAUUGACGGGGACCCGCACAAGCGGUGGAGUAUGUGGUUUAAUUCGAUGCAACGCGAAAAACCUUACCAAGGUUUGAAAUCAUUCUAAAACUCUUUGAAAGAAGAGCCUCCUUCGGGAUAGAAUGACAGGUGGUGCAUGGCUGUCGUCAGCUCGUGUUGUGAAAUGUCAAGUUAAGUCUUGUAACGAGCGCAACCCAUGUCUUUUGUUGCUGUUUACAGUGCUUAAAAGAGACUGCCGCUCUACAGCGGAGGAAGGUGUGGAUGAUGUCAAGUCAGCAUGCCCCUUAUAUCUUGGGCUACACACGUACUACAAUGGUAGGGACAAUGAGUCGCAAACCUGCGAAGGCUAGCCAAUCUCAAAAACCCUAUCUCAGUUCGGAUUGUACUCUGCAACUCGAGUGCAUGAAGGUGGAAUCGCUAGUAAUCGCUGGUCAGCAUACAGCGGUGAAUACGUUCCCGGGUCUUGUACACACUGCCCGUCACACCAUGGAAGUCGAUCCUUCCCUAAGUCGUUACUCGAACCUUUUAG